UGUGGUUAGUGACUUAAUGGAAUAAUUGCUGUCAGAGCGGAUGGUCAAAUCGCCAGAUGUAUUUUCAAGGGCUAGGAUUAUGGCUUGCAAUUCCGCACGAUUGUUGGUUUGCUCUUCCCCAGCCAACGGUACUGAAAUAUUUCUUGGGUCAUCAUUUCCGAAAAAAACUCCACAGCCAGCAACAGCUCCUUUUUUCCCAUUUCGCAAACUAGAACCGUCAGCAUAGACGACCUGUCGAUCCGAGCACGCAAUUGAUUUUUCAUGAGUGUCAUUCGAAAAUAUUUCAAUAUCUUUUUCGGUACUAUAACUUCUAGAAAUUUUCUUUCUAUAUUUAUCGGAGUGUCUAGCAGAGUAAUUUGAGGAACUAGAAGAAUAUGGAGAGUACCCAUAACUUGUUGUACUGCGGCGAUAUGGGCCAGAAGACGAGGAGUAGCGACUUCCUUCGGUCCUGCAAAAUUCCUGAGCAGCCUCAUAGCUGUCAAAUUUCUUGUAGCGAUUACCUCCAUAACCUUUCACCUGAUCCGACGCCUCAUCCCUAAAAAUUAGUAAGAGUUUGUUAAACAACAAGGUGUAUCCAUCAAGGAAAUGUUAAUAAGAGAUCAUCUUGAAAAAACCGAUUCAGAUUGAAUUGAAGCAAAGCAUACGACCGUAUCGAAACUUGCUUAACGUGAAACUUAUAUUUAACAACGAAACCAUUUUCUUGAGAUACGCAGUCUUACCAUGUACUAUAUAUACCAGUAUUUCGACCACGCGCUACUGCAUAGUAUGCACGCUUAUUUCCACCCAUUUCGUAAUGCGAAGAUUCAAAAAUAGCUUUAAAAUAGUAAAACUUAGUAAAACUUGGGAGUUUUUCCCAAAACUUUGCAAAA
Molecule: non-coding RNA, 869 nt
Organism: Schizosaccharomyces pombe (fission yeast)
Lineage: Eukaryota; Fungi; Ascomycota; Schizosaccharomycetes; Schizosaccharomycetales; Schizosaccharomycetaceae
Source: the annotation of a GenBank genome assembly